This 574-nucleotide ribosomal RNA is filed under the name uncultured bacterium. Its description in RNAcentral is "bacterial SSU rRNA". It matches the Rfam family "Bacterial small subunit ribosomal RNA", at positions 77 to 634 of the family's 1533-position model. The record is from RNAcentral.
AGCUUGCUCUUAUGAAGUUAGCGGCGGACGGGUGAGUAACACGUGGGUAACCUGCCCAUAAGACUGGGAUAACUCCGGGAAACCGGGGCUAAUACCGGAUAACAUUUUGAACUGCAUGGUUCGAAAUUGAAAGGCGGCUUCGGCUGUCACUUAUGGAUGGACCCGCGUCGCAUUAGCUAGUUGGUGAGGUAACGGCUCACCAAGGCAACGAUGCGUAGCCGACCUGAGAGGGUGAUCGGCCACACUGGGACUGAGACACGGCCCAGACUCCUACGGGAGGCAGCAGUAGGGAAUCUUCCGCAAUGGACGAAAGUCUGACGGAGCGACGCCGCGUGAGUGAUGAAGGCUUUCGGGUCGUAAAACUCUGUUGUUAGGGAAGAACAAGUGCUAGUUGAAUAAGCUGGCACCUUGACGGUACCUAACCAGAAAGCCACGGCUAACUACGUGCCAGCAGCCGCGGUAAUACGUAGGUGGCAAGCGUUAUCCGGAAUUAUUGGGCGUAAAGCGCGCGCAGGUGGUUUCUUAAGUCUGAUGUGAAAGCCCACGGCUCAACCGUGGAGGGUCAUUGGAAACU